AUGGGCGCAAGCCUGAUGCAGCCAUGCCGCGUGUGUGAAGAAGGCCUUCGGGUUGUAAAGCACUUUCAGUCGUGAGGAAGGUAGUGUAGUUAAUAGCUGCAUUAUUUGACGUUAGCGACAGAAGAAGCACCGGCUAACUCCGUGCCAGCAGCCGCGGUAAUACGGAGGGUGCGAGCGUUAAUCGGAAUUACUGGGCGUAAAGCGCAUGCAGGUGGUUUGUUAAGUCAGAUGUGAAAGCCCGGGGCUCAACCUCGGAAUAGCAUUUGAAACUGGCAGACUAGAGUACUGUAGAGGGGGGUAGAAUUUCAGGUGUAGCGGUGAAAUGCGUAGAGAUCUGAAGGAAUACCGGUGGCGAAGGCGGCCCCCUGGACAGAUACUGACACUCAGAUGCGAAAGCGUGGGGAGCAAACAGGAUUAGAUACCCUGGUAGUCCACGCCGUAAACGAUGUCUACUUGGAGGUUGUGGCCUUGAGCCGUGGCUUUCGGAGCUAACGCGUUAAGUAGACCGCCUGGGGAGUACGGUCGCAAGAUUAAAACUCAAAUGAAUUGACGGGGGCCCGCACAAGCGGUGGAGCAUGUGGUUUAAUUCGAUGCAACGCGAAGAACCUUACCUACUCUUGACAUCCAG
RNAcentral lists this ribosomal RNA (628 nucleotides) under Vibrio sp. Its description in RNAcentral is "bacterial SSU rRNA". It matches the Rfam family "Bacterial small subunit ribosomal RNA", at positions 371 to 991 of the family's 1533-position model. The record is from RNAcentral. Lineage: Bacteria; Pseudomonadati; Pseudomonadota; Gammaproteobacteria; Vibrionales; Vibrionaceae.